CUUCGCUAAAAGAAAAGAAAAAGAAAUAAAAGAAAAAGAAAUUGUAUUAAAAAAAAGAAUUCAAGAAAAAGGUCUCUGCGUGCGCAGUGUCGCCGUGUUUUCUUUCAUGUCGCCAACUUUUCCAGACCCAAUACUCUGAUGUCGAUAAACUUCGUCUUUCUCAUCAUUUGCCUUUGAUGGCUCGUCAUGCAACAUAGACUUUCACCUGCCAUAUGGCCUACAAUGAGCAACAACAAAACAUCAGGUGUACUUUUUUGUGUUCGGUGCCUUAAAAGAUGCCUAUGACCUUUGCUAUAACGAAUGCCUGCAACUAACUAGACACUUCCUAUUCGAUUGUCAUCUUUUAGUCGCUAUCAUUUGUUAUGUGGUACGGUAGACGCGGCCUUAAACAGACGACUAUAUUGAUUUUUAUUUUCUUUUUCAACAUGACAAAAAUAGCAGUAGACAUACACACAUGUGUACGAAAUCUCCAGCGUGGGUGUGUGUAUAACCGAGGAGGUGGUUCUUGCCGCUCCUGGUCAGAAGCAUAGGCAGUUCUCCGCAAUUUAAAUAUUAGUCUACGUUCUUCUAAGCUGUGCACGGAUAAGGUGAACGUUCCCAUCGCAACCAGAUGCCAGCUGGACGUGCCUCAUAUUUACGAUACAUUUUUUUUCUUUCUUUCUAGUUCCUAUUUUCUUCUUGAAUUGCCGCUUUUUCAUAGAUUUCCUCGUGAAAGUGUUUUCAUGUUAGUGCUCUUUCAUCUCCGGUCGUUAAUUUUUUUUUCACCCUCGAAAGAGUGAAGUUCACCGGUUGCGUCUACUAAAUUUUUUCCUUUUUCGAAAUCUUUAAAAAUUUUUUCAAAAAAAGUGCUUAUCAAUGGCGCAAAAGUGCAAUAAAAAUUCUAUUCCACUUGAAACAACACCUCAAGCGCCUGGAUCGUUCUAGUUGCUAUUUGAUUGACUGGCAAAUCGAUCGCAUCACGAACGUUGCCCGAAGACGACGGGCUUACAAAAGUCGGGCGCUAGAAUUACAGACGCCAACGUUAAUGGAACAGGGGCGAACGGGAUGACCUUUUCCUCUGGCAACGACGCUGGCGACGCCAUAAUAAACACUCGGGCACGGGAAAUACAAAAACUGUUCACUGGACACAAAAACAAAAACAUUUAUUCCCUCCAUCAAAAUAAAUCGACUACUCACUCCUCCUGACUUGCGCCCUUUUUCCUCCAUUCAAUUGGACUUUGCACGCUUCCUUUUCGCCCUGGCCAUUUCGUCCCCAUUGCAUAUACGUAAAUCAACAGUCAUAUCGAUCCAGGGGACCUACCGUCACGAAAAAAGCUCCAAGACACCCAUCGAAUGUAAAGAUCUCACGUUCCCAAUCCGAUAUGGUCGGCGUAGGGAAACAGGCGUUUUAUCAGAAUUUCAUCGGCUUCAGUAUCAGUCACACGCAAUUGUCAGAACCGAUUCCCAGGCACCGCUGACCUUUUCAUCUUUCACGUGCAUUAACUGAAAUCGAAACCGAUCAUGUGAUGGUUAGCAGUUUCACGAGCUAAGGAAUACGACGUGUACUCAACCACCCCUUCAUAAUGCAAGACGGGAUCGACCCGUAAAGUACCCCAAAAAUCGAUGCCUUUUUUAGUAACUUGUUUUACUUAUUUCCAAAGGGUCGUUGACUUUGUACUAAUCAAUUUCGUGUUACUGCGUGUGACAAUCAUGUAAAACUUAUUUCCUGCUCAGCAUGACAGCCAGUUAAAAUACAUAAUUGAAUUAGAAUUGGCGGAGGAAAAGAGAAGGGACACAAGCGCCGGAGGUGGCCGGGCACCAGCAACAAUGCACGGUUGUUUUUACCGCGUUAAAUAAAAAUCAAUUACACUAUAUAGUAGACUGUUUAGAUCCGGCCCAUGUGAACGACAAUGUCACGGUGGACGAGCUCCGACAUCACGUGUCUCUAUGACUGGCUUUUCGAUAUUUUACGCUGCUGUAGAUAUGCGCAUACAGAAUUGGUAAGAGUAAUUGAAAAGCCAUACAGUUUCGACGGCC
Molecule: long non-coding RNA, 2016 nt
Organism: Daphnia magna
Lineage: Eukaryota; Metazoa; Arthropoda; Branchiopoda; Diplostraca; Daphniidae
Exons: 2
Source: RefSeq, a predicted model, not a curated record